CAGCCGCCGCGGUAAGACGGAGGGUGCUAGCGUUGUUCGGAAUCACUGGGCGUAAAGGGCGCGUAGGCGGCCUGUUAAGUCGGAUGUGAAAGCCCGGGGCUCAACCCCGGAACUGCAUCCGAGACUGGCAGGCUUGAGACCGGGAGAGGAGGGUGGAAUAUCCAGUGUAGAGGUGAAAUUCGUAGAUAUUGGAUGGAACACCGGUGGCGAAAGCGGCUCUCUGGCCCGGAUCUGACGCUGAGGCGCGAAAGCGUGGGGAGCAAACAGGAUUAGAUACCCCGGUAGUCCCUGUCUCUUAUAC
RNAcentral lists this ribosomal RNA (301 nucleotides) under uncultured bacterium. RNAcentral's name for it is "partial 16S ribosomal RNA". It matches the Rfam family "Bacterial small subunit ribosomal RNA", at positions 509 to 807 of the family's 1533-position model. The record is from RNAcentral.